GCACCUUAUAAGUAGUGGUUACGGGUUUUGCUUCGGUUGAGAUCACCCACUCUCAUCUUCUCCUCCUCACUUCCUUCAACUUUCUUAGCUGCAGCAACAAGAAAAGAAAAAGAUUGUAGGAUGGAGAAAACAAGCGUUUCAAGUUUGGCGAGAACAAAAUCCGACCAUUUGGUGGAGACAAUGGCAGCGGCCUUUAAAUCUCCGCUGACGAGUGAGGUGGCUGGAGGAGUGUCAGAAGGCAGUGGGACCCUGUCGAGAAGGUCCAGCAAACGGCUGAUGAUGGCGGCCUCACCUGGACGCGGCGGUGUAGGUGGCAAGAACACGCAUAUAAGAAAGUCAAGGAGUGCACAAAUGAGGUUUGACUUAGAUGACCUCAGCAGCGGUGCAGCUUUGAGCAGAGCCUCUAGUGCCAGCUUGGGCUUGUCUUUCUCCUUCACCGGCUUCGCGGUGCCGCAAGAUGAGAUCGCCGAUUCGAAGCCGUUUAGCGAUGAUGAUAUACCUGAGGAUCUUGAAGCCGGGACUCGAAAACCGAAGUUUCAAACGGAACCCACGUUGCCAAUUUAUCUCAAGUUCACAGAUGUGAGUUACAAGGUGAUCAUCAAGGGGAUGCAUUCGAUCGAGAAGGAUAUUUUGAAUGGAAUCACUGGUUCAGUGAAUCCAGGGCAAGUCUUGGCACUUAUGGGACCUUCAGGAAGUGGAAAGACAACACUCUUGAAUCUGCUCAGCGGCAGGUUAAAUCAGCCCACUGUUGGUGGUUCAAUUACUUACAAUGAUCAGCCAUAUUCCAAGUUUCUCAAGAGUAGGAUAGGAUUUGUGACUCAGGAUGAUGUUUUGUUUCCUCACCUUACAGUGAAAGAAACGCUAACAUAUGCAGCUCGGCUUCGAUUGCCGAAGACAUUGACUAAAGAACAGAAGGGAAAAAGAGCCAUAGAUGUCAUCUAUGAACUAGGCUUAGAAAGGUGUCAAGACACUAUGAUCGGAGGCUCAUUCGUCCGGGGGGUCUCAGGUGGCGAAAGGAAAAGAGUUUGUAUUGGAAAUGAGAUUAUAAUAAACCCUUCUGUCUUGUUUCUUGAUGAACCAACCUCUGGCUUGGAUUCCACAACAGCUUUAAGGAUAGUUCAAAUGUUGCAGGACAUAGCAGAGGCAGGGAAAACAGUGGUAACUACAAUCCACCAGCCAUCAAGUAGACUGUUUCACAAGUUUGACAAGUUGAUCCUUCUUGGGAAAGGAAGCUUGCUGUAUUUCGGACAAGCAUCAGAAGCAAUAUCCUACUUCUCAUCUAUCGGUUGUAAUCCUCUCAUUGCCAUGAACCCGGCCGAGUUCUUGCUAGACCUUGCAAAUGGAAACCUGAAUGAUGUUUCUGUACCAUCAGAAUUGGAGGAUAAAGUGCAAAUCGAGGACUCGCGCAACGAAACAAGAAAUGAGAAGCCAUGUCCUGAAAAUGUACAUGAGUAUCUAGUGGAAGCGUAUGAAACACGAGUCGCAGAAAACGAGAAGAAGAAACUUAUGAUUCCUAUACCUCUUGAUGAGGAAGUGAAGCUGAAAGUGUCUUCUCCUAAGAGACAAUGGGGAGCAAGCUGGUGGGAACAAUAUACAAUACUGUUCUGUAGAGGAAUCAAAGAACGUAGGCAUGAUUAUUUUAGCUGGUUGAGGAUAACUCAAGUUCUUGCCACUGCAAUUAUCUUAGGACUCCUUUGGUGGCAAUCAGAUAGUAGCAGUCCCAAAGGCCUGCAAGAUCAGGCAGGGCUGCUUUUCUUCAUUGCUGUUUUCUGGGGAUUUUUUCCUGUCUUCACCGCCAUCUUUACAUUUCCUCAGGAAAGAGCUAUGCUAAAUAAAGAACGUGCAGCAGACAUGUAUAGGCUGAGUGCUUAUUUCGUGGCAAGAACUACAAGUGAUCUUCCACUUGAUCUGAUACUGCCAGUGCUUUUCCUUGUAGUUGUGUAUUUCAUGGCAGGCUUGAGAAUGAGUGCUGGCCCAUUUUUUCUUACCCUUCUCACAGUCUUCCUCUGUAUUGUUGCGGCUCAGCAGGGGCUCGGACUAGCUAUCGGAGCUACAUUAAUGGACCUAAAGAAAGCUACAACACUGGCUUCUGUAACUGUGAUGACCUUUAUGCUGGCUGGAGGAUACUUUGUAAAGAAAGUUCCAAUAUUUGUUGCUUGGAUUCGUUACAUGUCUUUCAACUACCACACUUACAAGCUUCUUCUGAAGGUGCAAUAUGAGCACAUGUUGCCUCCCAACAAAGGAAUGAGAAUAGACAAUGGUUUAAGGGAGGUUAGUGCCUUGGUGGCUAUGGCUUUUGGCUACCGUCUGUUGGCUUACAUUUCUUUGCGGAAGAUGAAGCUUAACUGGGGAACCUAGUUGCCGACAAAUUUCAGACGAACAUAAAUCUGGAACACUUCCCCACAAUUCUGAGUUUGACUUUUGGAGGGAGUCAUCUUGUCAGAGCUCAUAUUCCAGCUUCCCAUUGUCAGUUGUGUUUUGAGUCCCCCAUCACACAACUCAUGCCAAUGUCCUUAACCAGCCGAGAAGUCGAAGGAGAGCAGCAUCCAAUACAGGGGAUUUUUUCUCCAGUCCUGAAAUAAAAGAAAAUCAAUAGAGGGUGGGAAAGAAUUAGUUUCUAAUCUUCUUUUCCCCCCUUGGAGGUCACACAAAUAAGUAAUGAUUCAGCUCAUUUUGUCAUCCAUGCACUUUGAGGCAAAAGACUACCCAAAAAUGAUGUUGACCAGGAAUGAAAAGGAAGGUUUAGUAUCCUCACAUGGCAAAACACAUUCUAACAUUGUCCAAUGGGAAGAGUUUCCUUCUAAAUUCAAAUUUCUACAUAUUUUAUGGACAAUCAUGAAGUAGAUAAACAGCAAAAUAGUUCCAGGAACUUGAAGUUUAUUUUUGUUUGUGGAAAAUAACUUGUGUUUGAAACAUAUUUUUUGUGGAAAAUAUUUUCCUGUACAAAAUAUUUUCCAAUAAAAGAACUUAUUUUCUAUUGUUUAAUUUUAAUUUAAGAAAUAAAAUACAUUAGCAAAUUUGUACAUAGAAAUCUUAAUAAGAUUCUCAAAAUGAGAACCUCUUUCCAUUUUCCUUAAAUUUUUCCUUUGAUUGGAAAAAUAUUAAAUAUUUUUCAUUAACUAAAUUUUCCUGAAUGCUCCAAAAAUCAGAAGAUGUAGAAAAUAUUUUCCGUGAAACAAACGGAGCCUUAGAUAUGAAAAUGGCCCCUAGCUUACCAAUGUCAGCAGCUACUCGGUGAGCACACAUGACUCCGGAAAAGGCUACAGCUAUCACACCCUGUCCAGGAAAGCAGCUAUCGCCAACACAGUAAAGACCAUCUACAGCCUGCAAGUUUCAUUGUCAUGUGAACACAGCCUAUUUGAUACAAGCUACAUGCAUUACAUCAUUUAUCAGAGGUCAAUAACACUUACUGUUGUAUUGAAUGGCAUUCCAAGCAAGCCUUUAGGAGUUCCACGUGGCAUUGGUCCAUAGGUGCCUUUAUCACGAGCUAGGUAUCGUCUGUGUGUCUUUGGUGACCCCACCUAUCAUAA
Manihot esculenta (cassava) is the source of this 3530-nucleotide RNA transcript. It is a transcript of the gene named ABC transporter G family member 22, with no coding region annotated. NCBI's taxonomy places the organism in Eukaryota, Viridiplantae, Streptophyta, Magnoliopsida, Malpighiales, Euphorbiaceae. The transcript is spliced from 12 exons. The record is from RefSeq and is a predicted model, not a curated record.